RNAcentral lists this unclassified non-coding RNA (246 nucleotides) under plant metagenome. RNAcentral describes it as "partial contains small subunit ribosomal RNA, internal transcribed spacer 1, and 5.8S ribosomal RNA". The record is from RNAcentral.
UUUCCGUAGGUGAACCUGCGGAAGGAUCAUUAAAAGAUUUAGCAUAUUCUUCUGAAUAUGCUUCAUUAACCCAUUCCGAGUACCUUACCCGUUGCUUCCGCGAGGCUGUCCUCACGGCCCUUUGAAGAUUUAUCUUUGGAGAGUCCUUGCGGGAGGUAUACAAUAAACUCUUGCAUUACCAUGUCAUCUGUCUGAAUCUGUUUAAAACAAAUAUUAAAACUUUCAACAACGGAUCUCUUGGUUCUC